This 109-nucleotide small nuclear RNA is filed under the name Pterocles gutturalis (yellow-throated sandgrouse). Its description in RNAcentral is "U5 spliceosomal RNA". It matches the Rfam family "U5 spliceosomal RNA". From Rfam's summary of the family: U5 RNA is a component of both types of known spliceosome. The precise function of this molecule is unknown, though it is known that the 5' loop is required for splice site selection and p220 binding, and that both the 3' stem-loop and the Sm site are important for Sm protein binding and cap methylation. The record is from Rfam by way of RNAcentral. Lineage: Eukaryota; Metazoa; Chordata; Aves; Pterocliformes; Pteroclidae.
AUACUCUGGUUUCUCUUCAGAUCAUAUAAAUCUUUUACUAAAGAUUUCCGUGGAGAGGAAUAAGUACGACUGUCAAUGAAUUUCUGGAGGCUCUUUUUUUUUAUUAUUU